This 69-nucleotide antisense RNA is filed under the name Mycobacterium fragae. RNAcentral's name for it is "ASpks TB sRNA". It matches the Rfam family "ASpks TB sRNA". The record is from Rfam by way of RNAcentral. Lineage: Bacteria; Bacillati; Actinomycetota; Actinomycetes; Mycobacteriales; Mycobacteriaceae.
CUUGAUCGAUCCCAGCCACAGGGGCUCGGACCGAUCCCGUCCAUACGUGGCCAACAGGGCUUGCGCCUC